GGGGUGACUAGUGACAGAGUGAGGAAGGGGGUGACUAGUGACAUAGGGAGGGGUGACUAGGGACAGAGUGAGGGAGGUGGUGACUAGUGACAGUCACCACCUCCCUCACUCUGUCACUAGUCACCCCCUCCCUCACUGUGUCACCACCUCCCUCUGUCACUGGUCACCCCUCCCUCCCUCUGUCACUGGUCACCCACUCCCUCCCUCACUUUGUCACCAGUCAUCCCC
Molecule: non-coding RNA, 228 nt
Organism: Pelobates cultripes (western spadefoot toad)
Lineage: Eukaryota; Metazoa; Chordata; Amphibia; Anura; Pelobatidae
Source: the annotation of a GenBank genome assembly